AUUAAAAACCAAUGCCCUUCGGGGCUCUCUGGUGAUUCAUGAUAACUUCUCGAAUCGCAUGGCCUUGCGCCGGCGAUGGUUCAUUCAAAUUUCUUCCCUAUCAACUUUCGAUGUUUGGGUAUUGGCCAAACAUGGUUGCAACGGGUAACGGAGGGUUAGGGCUCGACCCCGGAGAAGGAGCCUGAGAAACGGCUACUACAUCCAAGGAAGGCAGCAGGCGCGCAAAUUACCCAAUCCCGACUCGGGGAGGUAGUGACAAUAAAUACUGAUACAGGGUUCUUUUGGAUCUUGUAAUUGGAAUGAGUACAAUUUAAAUCCCUUAACGAGGAACAAUUGGAGGGCAAGUCUGGUGCCAGCAGCCGCGGUAAUUCCAGCUCCAAUAGCGUAUAUUAAAGUUGUUGUGGUUAAAAAGCUCGUAGUUGAACCUUGGGCCUGGCUGGCCGGUCCGCCUCACCGCGUGUACUGGUCCGGCCGGGCCUUUCCCUCUGUGGAACCCUAUGCCCUUCACUGGGUGUAGC
Molecule: ribosomal RNA, 518 nt
Filed under: uncultured fungus
Lineage: Eukaryota; Fungi
Description: SSU rRNA
Rfam family: Eukaryotic small subunit ribosomal RNA
Source: RNAcentral